RNAcentral lists this ribosomal RNA (505 nucleotides) under Pachnephorus impressus. RNAcentral's name for it is "partial 16S ribosomal RNA". It matches the Rfam family "Bacterial large subunit ribosomal RNA", at positions 1887 to 2600 of the family's 2925-position model. Lineage: Eukaryota; Metazoa; Arthropoda; Insecta; Coleoptera; Chrysomelidae. The record is from RNAcentral.
GUCUUUUAGGGUUAAUUAAAAGUCGGACCUGCCCCCUGAUUAUUUAAAUGGCCGCAGUAUAUUAACUGUGCUAAGGUAGCAUAAUAAUUAGUUUUUUAAUUGAAAGCUGGAAUGAAGGGUUUGAUGAAAAAAUAGCUGUCUUAAAUUAAAUAGGUGAAUUUUAUUUUUAAGUUAAAAAGCUUAAAUAUAUAUAAGGGACGAUAAGACCCUAUAGAGUUUUAUAUUAAUUGUAAAUUAAGAAUUUAGAUAUUAAUAUUUUUUAUUUGUAUUAAUAUUUAAUUGGGGUGAUUAAAAAAUUAAAUUAACUUUUUUAUUAAAAACAAUAUAAUUGGGUUUUUGAUCCCCAAUGAGGGAUUAUAAGAUUAAAUUACCUUAGGGAUAACAGCGUUAUUAUUUUUGAGAGGCCUAAUCGAAAAAAUAGUUUGCGACCUCGAUGUUGGAUUAAAAUCAAGAAUUGGCGGAGGAGUUAAUUUGUAUAGUCCUGUUCGACUUUUAGAAUUUUACA